UACAGAGGGGGCAAGCGUUGUCCGGACUGACUGGGCGUAAAGCGCACGCAGGCGGUUGUGGGCGUCGGUGCUGAAAGUCCACUGCUUAACAGCGGGAUGCGUGCCGAUACGCCAUAACUGGAGCGAUGCAGAGGCCAGUGGAAUUGCCGGUGUAGUGGUGAAAUGCGUAGAGAUCGUAAGGAAGGCCAGUGGCGAAGGCGAGUUCCUGGACAGUGACUGACGCUGAGGCACGAAGGCCAGGGGAGCAAACGGG
RNAcentral lists this ribosomal RNA (253 nucleotides) under uncultured bacterium. Its description in RNAcentral is "partial 16S ribosomal RNA". It matches the Rfam family "Bacterial small subunit ribosomal RNA", at positions 524 to 776 of the family's 1533-position model. The record is from RNAcentral.